This 1450-nucleotide long non-coding RNA is filed under the name Pongo abelii (Sumatran orangutan). RNAcentral describes it as "lncRNA (ENSPPYG00000041560.1)". Lineage: Eukaryota; Metazoa; Chordata; Mammalia; Primates; Hominidae. The record is from RNAcentral.
AACAUGUAUUUAACUAUAUGUAAAUCAAAACUAAAUGUCUGCAUGUGUUUGCAGGCAGACAGGAAACAUGCUCAAAAAAUAAAUAUUAGAAAACUUUAAAAAUACUUAUUCAGGCCUCAGAAAUGUAUGGAUUUUAUUUAUACUUCUACAUAACUUUUAUUAUGACCAUAAAAAUAACACUGUAAUCAAUAACAAUUUAAUUUUACAUUUUAAAAUAACUAAAAGUAUAAAACUGGAUUGUUUGUAAUACAAAGGAUAAAUACUAGAGGUGAUGGAUACCUCAUUUACCCUGAUGUGAUUAUUAUAUACUGUAUUCUUGUAUCAAAAUAUGCCAUAUAUUGCAUGAAUAUAUACUCAUAUUAUGCACCCCAAACAAUUAAGAAAAAUAAAUUUAAAUAAAGUAAACAUUUGGCUGGGCAGGGUGGCUCAUGUCUGUAAUCCCAGAACUUUGGGAAGCCAAGGCGGGCAGAUCUUUGAGGUCAGGAGUUCGAGACCAGCUUGACUUACAUUAUGAAACCCUGUCUCUACUAAAAUACAAAAAUUAGCUGGGCAUGGUGGUGGGUGCCUGUAAUUCCAGCUACUUGGGAGGCUGAGGCAGGAGAAUUGUGUGAACCCAGGAGGUGGAGGUUGCAGUGAGCCGAGAUCAUGCCACUGCACACCAGCCUGGGUGACAGAGCAAGACUCCCUCUCAAAAAAUAAAAUAAAAAAAAACAAAAAUUUAACCUACAGAAAUAAUAUUCUUUAACUUAUUUGCAGUCAAAGCCACUGGCAAAAGAGAUUACUAGAGAUGUUAAUCCAUUAUGUUACCAAAUAGUAUUCUAUUAUCAUGUUUUACGUAAACCCUUGAGUAAGGUGGAAGAGGUUGACAUCUGUGGCACAAUAACACUUCACUGAAUGCACAAUAGUAUUUAACAUGUUAAAAAGUUUGAAUAUAUUAACAUCACAUAUAAUCUGAAAUUUAAAAAAUAUACUGCAUUUUAUAUAAAAUAUUAGUACAAUAUACUAAUUUUAAUUUACUUAUAAAUGAAAUUAAAAAUGUUUUCUCAUAAUGCAGAAGAAUAUUACUCUGAAUGCCUUAUGCACACGUUGCUCAAUAUUAUAAGUUAACCACAAAAGUCUCUUCACUUAGAUUUUCAUCAUACAUCUCAUAUUUUAAUGUCCUUACUUUUUCAUAGCAAAGUUUAUAAAUAAUGCUCACCAAAUAAAAAAGAAUCUCUCAUCUCUUUGAUGCAGCAACAAUUGAUCACAUGCUUUCACAUGUAAAUAGGAGUGAAGAAACAGCAGGAAAUAAUGAGAGUUGAAUUACAUCAUUACUCAGUUUUCAAAAAAUCUAAUUUUUUCAAAGAGUUAAGCAUACUUUGAAUGCAAUAACGCUACAAAAAAACUUCUACUUUUAAAGUUAUAUACAAAUAAUUUUUUUACCAAUUUUAGUUUUAGAUUAUUUUCUAUA